RNA transcript from Ziziphus jujuba (common jujube), 2298 nucleotides. It is a transcript of the gene named (R)-mandelonitrile lyase 3, with no coding region annotated. The transcript has 5 exons. NCBI's taxonomy places the organism in Eukaryota, Viridiplantae, Streptophyta, Magnoliopsida, Rosales, Rhamnaceae. The record is from RefSeq and is a predicted model, not a curated record.
GUUCAUAACAUAUCCCCUCCCCCGAGACACUCUUGGCUCCGCCCCUUAUCCGCUUUUUAAUUUUUAUUUAUUUUUUAAUACUUCUCUCUUUUUUUUUUUUUUUUUUUUUGUCUUUUUUUGUUUUUUGGGGUCUGUAUAAAAUGGCUAUAAAUGCUGAAAGAGUAAUAGUAUAAUUUUCAAUGGCUAUAAAUGCUGAAAGAGUAAUAGUAUAAUUUUCAAGGAAGCAAACAUCGAAAUUUUCCUACAAUUAGCUAUACGUAUCUAAACCAUGGCUACUUUAGCCCUGCUUUUGCUCUUUUAUCUUUUUCAUCUUCAACUGGAUGUUCAUGCAUUGCCCUCUUCAUCUGAUUAUGAUUUUAGUUACAUGAAAUCUGUCUACAGUGCCAGUGAUCUACCAUUAAAAGAAGAGUAUGACUAUAUAAUAGUGGGAGGUGGCACAGCAGGUUGUCCUUUGGCUGCAACUUUAUCAGCAAACUACUCGAUUCUUGUCCUUGAAAGGGGCAGUGUUCCUGCUUCAUACCCACUGGUGUUGAAGUCAAGCGGGUUAUUAACUAACCUCUUGCAGGAAGACGACGGUGAAACACCUGCUCAGAGGUUUACUUCAGAAGACGGUGUUGCAAAUGUUAGAGGAAGAGUCCUUGGUGGCAGCAGCAUGCUCAAUGGAGGAUUCUUCUCCAGAGCCGAUGACCAAUUCUAUAAUGAAUCUGGCAUUGAUUGGGACAUGGAUGCGGUGGAGGAGGCAUAUCAAUGGGUGGAAGACACUAUUGUUUACCAGCCGAAUCUAUCAGCUUGGCAAUCUAUUUUUAGAGACGCUUUGCUUGAAGCAAGAGUUGGUCCUGACAAUGGAUUCAGUCUGCAACAUUUAGUGGGAACCAAAACUUCUGGUUCAAUCUUCGAUAAUGAGGGAAGGAGACAUGGAGCUGUGGAGCUUCUUAACAGAGGCGAACUGAAGAACCUGAAAGUUGCGGUUGAGGCCUAUGCGGAGAGAAUCAUCUUCUCUUCCAAAACAUCAGGUGUGACUGCAAUUGGAGUCGUAUACAGUGAUUCGAAAGGUAGGACUCAUGAGGCAUUCAUAAGAGAUGAAGGAGAGGUGAUAUUGAGUGCAGGAGCAAUUGGGAGUCCUCAGCUUCUUCUACUUAGUGGAGUUGGUCCAGUAGCUCAUCUUUCAUCACAUACAAUUCCUGUAGUCAGCCAAAAUCCUGAUGUGGGAAAUUAUAUGUUUGAUAAUCCUCGUAAUAACAUCAAUAUUGUAGUCCCAUUUGCAUUAGAUCCAUCAGUUCUACAGGUUGUAGGAAUUACCAAUGAUUUCAAUUACAUAGAGGCACUCUCUUACAAUACCUCAUUUACUUUUCCUCAACCUUUUAGCUUUUAUUCAAAUGGAAUCACUCCUUUAGAAUUGAGUGUGGCAACUAUUGUUGAGAAGUUCUCUGGACCUCUGUCGAGUGGCUCCCUCCGACUGGUUUCAUCGACCGAUGUGAAAGUUAGCCCAACCGUCCGAUUCAACUACUUUGAAGAACCAGAGGACCUUGUUCGUUGCGUAAGAGGAAUGAGGACGGUCGGUGAUAUGUUGAAGACCGACUCCAUGGCAAGACUUAAGUUCGAAGAUUUAGAAGGUGCUGAAGGUUUCAGGUUUUUAGGACCUUCUUUGCCAAGUAACCAAUCAGAUGAUGUAUCAAUGGAGGCGUUUUGCCGAAGCACGGUGACGACCAUCUGGCAUUACCAUGGUGGAUGUGUGGUUGGAAAAGUGGUGGAUGGUGAUUUGAGGGUGGUGGGUACAAAUUCACUUCGAGUGGUAGAUGGAUCCAUAUUCAAUACAUCACCCGGAACCAACCCUCAGGCCACCCUCAUGAUGAUAGGCCGGAAGCUCCAUAUCCAAUGAACCCGGAAGAUGAUAAAUCUGUGGAAGCUUUUUGUAGAAGCACACUGGAAACCAUUUCACAUUAUCAUGGUGGAUGCUUGGUUGGGGAGGUUGUGGAUGGUGAUUUGCGGGUGAUGGGGAUUAAUGCUCUUCGUGUUGUAGACGGAUCCACCUUCAACAGGUCAGCAGGACUGACCUUCAAACUAUGGUUAUGAUGCUAGGAAGGGCACAGGUAGGUUGGACUUAAAUGGCGCAGGAAAGAAGAGGAGCUGUUUUAUAUGGCAAAAACGUUUCGUUUUCAUACAUAUUAAAAGUAAAAAGAAAGUUGAUAGAUAAGAGUGUAACUGUGUAUUUAAUAUUAUCUUGAAAUUACUGAGGAUGGUGACAAAGUAUAAUGAUAAUGUUAUCAUAAUGAAUUGUGGCUGAUAAUUUUUACAUUA